RNAcentral lists this ribosomal RNA (492 nucleotides) under Triticum aestivum (bread wheat). RNAcentral's name for it is "partial small subunit ribosomal RNA". The record is from RNAcentral. Lineage: Eukaryota; Viridiplantae; Streptophyta; Magnoliopsida; Poales; Poaceae.
AUGAACGCUCAUUCCUGUUCUUAUAUACAAGUUUGGAGGCUGCUUGAGAACCCUGAUUAUCUUUGUGCUUAGGUUUUGAGAGUCAAAUAUUAUCCGGAUGGACAGCUACUGGAUGCCAAGGUGAAAAGUGGAAGCUCGUAUACAUGGCAGAGUAUAUGUGCCGGUAUUAAUACAUUCAGGAGAGGGGCAAUAUGGCGCAUAGGUGAUGGAUCACAAGUGAACAUUUGGGCUGAUUCGUGGAUACAGUCGAGUGCCGAUGGCCGUGUCACUACACCACGAGGAGGGACCCUUCUGUCUAAGGUUUCGGAGUUGAUUGAUCCUGUCACUGGUUUAUGGGAUGAACAGUUGAUAAAUGAUGUAUUUUGGCCGGUUGAUGCGCAUAGGAUUCUUGCCAUGCCGCUGGCACCACAUGGGAUGAUGGAAGAUUUUGUGGCCUCGCGGUUUACAAGGAACUUCGCCUUCUCGGUCCGAUCAGCUUAUCAUGUGGAGUGA